This 441-nucleotide small RNA is filed under the name Drosophila ananassae. RNAcentral's name for it is "GF28088". The record is from RNAcentral. Lineage: Eukaryota; Metazoa; Arthropoda; Insecta; Diptera; Drosophilidae.
UCACUUUGAAAAUUUUUAAAUUCAGAUUACAUGCUUUGUUUGGGUACAUACAAUUUGCAUAUUGAUUUCUGGUUAUAUUCAUAUUUUGCCGCCAUUACCACCGGAGCCCAAUUGUUGAUCUCAAAACGGCAUUGUUCGACCUGCGAGCCCGGCUAGCAGCUGCUUACUUGGCUAAAACACAGAUUAACACGUUUACUUCAUGCUGUUCGCAUUGCACGGGCGUACAUUAUGUCGUAUAUUGUAAAACAUCGAGGGUGUCGCGGCCUUAAAUCGCGGCCUCUGGGAUUUGACUCGUAACGUUUUUAAGUACAACAAUUAGUUAAUUGAUAAGAUUGGGAAGUCAGCUGUUCAGGUGAGAGCCUGGUGAAAUGUACAUUAAUUGGUCAUCGGACUGGAGGGACAAUAAAUGAGUUGCACACGCUGUGGCUAUUACAAAAUGAA